This 703-nucleotide ribosomal RNA is filed under the name uncultured archaeon. RNAcentral describes it as "bacterial SSU rRNA". It matches the Rfam family "Archaeal small subunit ribosomal RNA", at positions 173 to 859 of the family's 1478-position model. The record is from RNAcentral.
GAAUGGUUCUUCACCCAAAGGGCUUUGGAAACAUGCUUUUCAAAGUCGCCUGGGGAUGGGGCCGCGUCCGAUCAGGUUGUUGGUGAGGUAACGGCUCACCAAGCCUAUAACCGGUACGGGCCGUGAGAGCGGUAGCCCGGAGAUGGGUACUGAGACAAGGACCCAGGCCCUACGGGGCGCAGCAGUCGCGAAAACUCCGCAAUGCACGAAAGUGUGACGGGGCUACCCCGAGUGCCGUCCGCUGAGGAUGGCUUUUCCUCGGUGUAACUAGCCGGGGGAAUAAGGAGAGGGCAAGACUGGUGUCAGCCGCCGCGGUAAUACCAGCUCUCCGAGUGGUAGGGAUGAUUAUUGGGCUUAAAGCGUCCGUAGCCGGCUUAGCAAGUCUCCUGUUAAAUUCAGCGACCUAAUCGUUGAGCCGCGGGAGAUACUACUAGGCUAGGAGGCGGGAGAGGUCGACGGUACUUCCGGGGUAGGGGUGAAAUCCUAUAAUCCCGGGCGGACCACCAGUGGCGAAGGCUGUCGACUAGCACGCGCUCGACGGUGAGGGACGAAAGCUGGGGGAGCGAACCGGAUUAGAUACCCGGGUAGUCCCAGCCGUAAACGAUGCGGGCUAGGUGUUGAGGUGGCUACGUGCCACUUCAGUGCCGCAGGGAAGCCAUUAAGCCCGCCGCCUGGGGAGUACGGCCGCAAGGCUGAAACUUAA